This is a long non-coding RNA of Apis dorsata (giant honeybee), 1536 nucleotides long. RefSeq lists it as uncharacterized. NCBI's taxonomy places the organism in Eukaryota, Metazoa, Arthropoda, Insecta, Hymenoptera, Apidae. The record is from RefSeq and is a predicted model, not a curated record. The transcript is spliced from 2 exons.
AAACUGGUAUUUAAUAUUUUAUAAUCGAAGAAUAAUCAUCUCGACAGAACAUUAAUAUUUUCGAUAUUUUGUAUCGCAAAAUUGCAAACAUAUUUACAUAACUACACACAAUCGUUGCAUUUAUAACCUCUCCUCUUUCAAAUCCAUCUUUGUAAUCGAAACUCGAGUUGCGAUAUAUUUUUUACAUCUAAUCGUUUGAUCUAAUCUUCAACUUAAAAUAUAUACACGGAUAUAAAACGAGGGAUAUUACAAAACGAAUCUAUCAAUUGAAAAUUCUUUAUUUGACCGGGGUUUAAAAAGUGACACGCAACUUUCCCUUCGAUCUAAUAGGAAACGCGAUACGGAUUCGAUAUAUUCGAAUGUUGUCAAGAAAGAGAGAUAAAUAAAAGAAAAAAAAAAAAAGAAAUAUCGAAAUCGAGUGGUCUCGAAGAUCGUAUCUACUUAUUCGUAAUAUAAAAUAAUAAAGGUAAAUCGAUUCUGGAUACGCUGAUAUAACUCUCGAAAAUAUAACUCUCGAACAACAUCUGAUUCUAUCUUAUCUUAUAUGGAAUAUUGGUCAAUAUUCGAUUCCAAAGUGAAAACCGGAAAACUCAUAUUUUUCCACGGACGACAACUAUUAAGAGAGGCGGGGGGGGGGGGGGAGAAAUUAGUUUUAAAUCGACUAAUAAGCGACACUUUUGCGAGCGUUAAUCGAGAUCGCGGUAAUAGAAAUAUUUUUUUUUUUUUUCAGGAUCAGAAUAUGGAAACUUAAUUAGGUUACAGGUUAUAGUUUUUCAAAAGUAUUUAAAUGUAUCCGUGUAUGUGUUUCGUGAGAAAUUAGAUUGGAAUUGGAUAGUUGUCAGACGCUGAAAUGCAUUAUUGAAACCGGCUUGUAUAUUGUUAAAUAAUUUCUCGAAGUAAAGUACAUUUAAAAUUGAAUACGCGUGGAAAACUUGAUCCGUUCUCUUUAUUCAUCUUAUAGAAAUUUAUAUGUUGGAAAUAUCGAGCGCGUAGAGAUAAAUUGCGUUGAAAAUAUAUCUUUCAUUGUCCAUUGGAUGGAUUAAAAGAUGAGACAAAUUUGUCUUUUCAAGUUCCAUGUUUUUUUAGUUACAUCGAAAAAAGGUGAAUUUGCAUAAACGCGGUAGAAGUAAUAUAAAAGGAAAAGAAAUUUUUUUUUUCUUUUUUAAUUUUUAAAUAUCAAUAGAUAUUUAUGGAUAUUUAUUGCUUCAUUUUAGAAUCAUGACCUGAAUCUUUAAAGAGGGAAAUAAAAAAAAAAAAUCACUUGUCAAAGAUCAAAGUAUUAAACAGCCAGAAGAUUUUUAAAAUAUUUUUGGAAUUAUAUAUAAUAACUGUAUAUACUGUCGAUUGAUUAGUCUUAAAACACGUUUUAAAAUGUUUAAAUAUAUAUUCUUUAAAUCACUUGGCAUAUCUGAUUGAUCGCGAGCGAAAUGAAAUCGGCCUCUCGACGUUAUUAGAAGCUAUUAGACACACAUGGUGAUCGCGUGAAAUCUGCAAAUCGUUCGAUUUUGUUCGAAGUUUGACGAAUAAUUUAAAUAA